This is a long non-coding RNA of Oreochromis aureus, 1899 nucleotides long. RefSeq lists it as uncharacterized. The record is from RefSeq and is a predicted model, not a curated record. Lineage: Eukaryota; Metazoa; Chordata; Actinopteri; Cichliformes; Cichlidae. The transcript has 3 exons.
CACAUGAUACCUUUAUUCAAGAGUCAAUAGCAAAUGGAACAAAAGCACAAAGCAGAUAUUCAGAAGUGUUUUUGUGACAAAAACUAACAAAUAAAUGCUCGAUAUUCAGAAAGAUUUCUAUGCCUGUAUGAUUUUUCUGCCAGAAAGCUAUAUUCCGCAUUAGCCAGCAAUACUCUAGCCUCUCUGGGUGUGGAUCUUGUUAAAUGAAUGUAUAUGAAUUUGGUAAAUGUAGCAGGGAAAUCAGGACAACAUAUGGGGCAGUCACUUAUACUAACACUGGUGAAGUCUGAGUAUAUCCAAGGGCACAUCCCUGACGGUUCCGUAAUCAGAAGUGCAGACAUAAAGAGGUAUUGUAAUGACACAUGCCUGCCUCUUCUUAAAUAUAGGUUUGAUUUGAAAGAAAAUGACAGUGUAGUCAAUUUGGUCACUUUGGCAAUGGCGCCAGCCUUCUCCUGCGACAAUAGAAAAUGAAAGUGUUCGUUUCCUACUGGGUUUCCACUUUCCUGUGUCAAUUUUUCUCCCCGUCAUUUUCUCUCAUCCCAUCUCUGCGUCAGCCUCUCCUCAUAGUCUGUGUCUGUUUCAAGCAUCCGUUUGUCUGUCUGAAUCCUCUCCGGCUGCGACCGUGAGGACGUCUGCUUUUUGGUUCUCAAACAAAAACAGAUGCACGGUGCUUGAUAGAAAUUAUGAACUCUAGUCAACAAACACCGUAUGUCCCAUUUUCCACUCAUGGGUGGUUAGAGUACAUUUCUCUUCCAAAAAAAAAGGCAAAAAAAAGAAAAGUGGCAGAAAAGGAAACAAAAAAGUCUGUCACACGGCAAGUACUGAAUUAUAGUCUUGCAGUUUAAUAAGAAGGGGAGGUAUAAUUUGGUGAUUUGCUGUUCUGUGGAGCUGGGUUGGCAGAUGAGUACCAUUAAGUGUUUUUUAUCUAUGUGCGUGGAAGAAUACAUGAUGUGUAAUGCUUAACUACAAGAAGAGAGAGUGAACAUUUGGAGUUUUUAAAUGGUUUGCCUGUACAACCCACAGAACACACACAUUAAAGAAACCCUAUAGGGCAUCUUCUCUGUAGACGUGUAAUUUAGUUUAACCAUUCCAGGGUUGCAAAUGCACCUGAUGUUACUUUGAAAUGAACCUGAUGAGUUCAGCUUCCAUGGCGACUUCGGCCUCCUCAGCAGAAUGGGAGCUGACACCUGUAUCGGGGGUUCGCACUCUUUGCAAACUCGACUCACACAGAUUUAAUUUGUGUCACUCUGUGAAUACUUUUUCUUCCGCGCUGUUCCAUCACUGUGUAGCAGACCUUUAAAUACUCGUCCUGACCUCGAAUAGCCCGACAGCCCCCGAGAUAAUCCUGCAGCUUCACAGCGGAGAGAAGAAACAGUGCAGAAAAAUCCGCCUGGAGAGAGUGACUGUUGGAAAAUUCUCACUGACUUCUUAGUUCUUAUUUAUCUUCGUGACAGUGGGUCCGGAGAAGGAGAUGACAGGGAGGGAGAGCGGCGUGGUGCGUUGGCUCUGCGUGUUAAGGAGAGGCUGUGAUCAUCGCCGGCUGCAGAGAGACAACAGUGACGGGAAGUGACGAUGAGGCCCGAGACGAGAGCCGCGAUGACUGCUUCCUGUCAUGGUCUGGAUGUGCCUUUUCUCCAGUGUCCACCUCUGGCCGAAGCUGCCAUUCUCUCACCAGGGCAGCUCACCUGGAAGUUAUCCGUGGCAAUCAGCAGAGAGCUCCGUGGACUCACACACAGAUUCACGCUAUGCUCCAGGAAGAAAACACCCACCACACUCACCUGCUUGCCCUCCUGACACCGCAACUUACCAGGACUCCUGAAAUUCAGGUCAGCCUGUUGUUAAUGCUAUCAGCCUGCCACUCAAACCUCUGCCUCCCCCUCCAAGCCUAUGACUCCACCU